GAUAUUCGCCAGCCCCAUCCUUCUGCAAUUUUCUCAACUCCAUAGUUGAUGAGGUUUGCGAUGAGGAUGCCGAUGCUGAUGCAGAGCUCAAAGCCAUUGUUGAUGGCACCACGGUACUGUGGUGGUGCCAUUUCUGAUAGGAUGUUACCUGGUUGGUGAAUCCGAGCCCUAUGCCGAGGAGGAUCCUGUUGAGGAGGAGCAUGUAGAUGUUGACGGCUGCCCCGCCGAAGACUGAGCCGGCGAUGAAGACGGUGCCUCCGAUGAGUAUGGAGGUGCGGCGGCCGAACCUCCUUGUGACGGAGGAGGCGAAGAGGGUGGCGACGAGGCCAGCGACGUAGAGCGAGGAGGUGAAGACGGUGAGGAGCUCGCUGUCGAAGCGGCAGUAGUUGCUGACGUUCUUAUCCCCUUUCAUCUGGUGGUACACGUUCGGGAAGAACUUCUUGAGGAACGACUCCAUGGAGUUGGUAGGUACCUGAGAUGCCGAGGUCGUAUCCAAAGAGGAUGCCGCCGCUGCCGGCGACGAUGCAGGAGAGGAUGACAAAGGACGUGACGCGGCCGUUGUAGCCGGCGCCGGCGGGGCCUUCGACGAAGGCUCCUAUCGCCAUGGAGUAUUUCUUAAGCUGUCAGCGGUGUUCCUUGAAGCAGAGCAGAGCUGAGCAGGGAUGGAUGGAGGUGCAAGGGAUUCGGGCUAUUUAUUGUCUAUGCUGUGGCUGCUCUGCCGUCUGAUCUGAUCCAUUUUUUCUUUGAUCUAUCUAUCUGGUGGCAAUGCCGACGGUGUGACUGGCCUGGCCUCUUCACUUCACUUCCUCUUCCUCUUGGAGCUACAGCUACUGCCAUGGCAUCCUGGAUUUGAUGGCAGAACGUCAGCUCAGAGCCAUUUCGGUAGUGAUUGUUACUCUAUAGGCUAGUCUAGUUUGCUUGCAUGUCUACUCUUCGCCCCGUUGCUAGUAAUUUUGCACUGCAUUACUUUAUACUAUAUGGUGGGGAAAAGGAGAGAUUUCAAAAUUUAACACUCAA
Molecule: long non-coding RNA, 1017 nt
Organism: Phragmites australis (common reed)
Lineage: Eukaryota; Viridiplantae; Streptophyta; Magnoliopsida; Poales; Poaceae
Exons: 3
Source: RefSeq, a predicted model, not a curated record